GGUUCUUACAUUACAUUUAUUCAAAUUUGUUUAUUGUCGUUUAUUAUUUGUUGAUAUCUUGUAGAAAUGUCGUUCUUUUUUUUUAUUGUUUCAACACCAAAGUGCAUUGUAGCCUGUAUAUUCAGGGAGUGGCAUACCUAAUUUAUUUAUUUUCCGGAAUUUAAGGUCUAUUUCCGUAUUCGUCUUUAAUUUUUCUAUCCGUUUCAAAACUUCCGGUAGAGAAUUUAACAAAAACUGCACAUUUGAAAUACACAUUUUUUAAUAUUUUUGGUAAGAAGUAAUCGGUUUUCAAUCUGGUCUUCGAUUUAAAAACUUCCGGGCCACUUCACUGAUAUGAAAAAAUACACAGAACACCAUCUCCUCCUGGAAAUAGAAGUAAAAUCUUAUCUGUUCUCUGUGUGAAUAAUGAACCGUUAAAAAAUGUCUCUUAGACCUAUAAAUUAUAACUAUAAAUUUGUCCUAGUACUACUUCAGAGUAAUCGCUGCACAUAAGCGUGAGAGUAAUAAACAAAAACUUAUAAAAUGAAACCCUUGCCAAUACAUUUUAUCAUACAAUAAAUGUUUAAGUGCUAGUUUCACUCUGGAUAAAUACAAUAAAGUCAAUAUACAUGUAACACUGAAAUAAGAGAUGCAUGUACAUGUACAGUUAAGAUGGGGUCAGCAAUUUUAAUUCAAUUGUAUAUAUAGAUGGUUGUUUCGUGUAACAGGAUUUAAAGGUGCAUGUGUAUAUUUGUAUGUGUUUUUUUUGUUUUUCUUCUUCAAUUGUAUGAAUUGAAUGCAUGUACCUGUGUUGGUAAAAAUGCUCUGUUGUUAUUGUGUUGUUUUUUUUUGUUUCUUUUUUUCGUUACUUUAUUUUCUUUUAUUUAGCAUGGUGAUUAUAAAUUAGCAUGAUGACUAUUAUUAUAUGCUAUUCUUUGGUAUACAUCUUCUCUCGUAAAAUCGAACAAUACACAAAUUUAAAAUUAAAACGUGCAAAUCGAGGUACAAAAUGAAGUUUCACAGAACUUUUUUGAUAUAUAUUUCAGUUUUACUUUAGCACAAAAAUAUUUGCUCAUUUUAUUUAUACUAUGAUGCUCUCGACACUUUUUUUUAGGGGGUUGGGGGUAACUCUAAGUAAAAAAUUGAAACACUGGGAAAACACUUUUACAUAUAGAUGCACAUGUGUAUGGUUUGUUCAUACUGCUUGGAUAUAUUGGGCUUAUAGAUAUUUAUAUUUAUUAUUAUUUAAGCUAUUCUUGUUUAACC
Molecule: long non-coding RNA, 1245 nt
Filed under: Mytilus galloprovincialis (Mediterranean mussel)
Lineage: Eukaryota; Metazoa; Mollusca; Bivalvia; Mytilida; Mytilidae
Source: RNAcentral